Non-coding RNA from Cricetulus griseus (Chinese hamster), 2533 nucleotides. The record is from RefSeq and is a predicted model, not a curated record. NCBI's taxonomy places the organism in Eukaryota, Metazoa, Chordata, Mammalia, Rodentia, Cricetidae.
CAGAGAGAGACCUGACCGGUCGCCAUGUUGAAGCUCAGGAGCUACUGCGGGCCGAGGGAGGCUUCGGGGCUCGUGGAGCUGAGAAGGGACACGGUGAGAAUGGUGAGGCAGAGGACGUAGAGGUUGAUAGCUUCGAUCACUGGCUGGGACUGAACGGAGACUACACUGCGGAUGGGCAGGGCCGUCGGACCGGGCCUCGCGAGUCGGCGUGAGCCUCAACCUCAAGGGGUUGCUUAGGGCCUCACGCCUUUCCCUCGGCUUUUUACCCAGGGACCCAGGGAGUCGCUUCUCUUCUGGCUGUGGAGGAGCCCUUAGACCUCCUAGCGGGACAAUCUGGGCAGAAGGUGGCUUUGUUGUGUUUUGCGGACUGGGGACAGCGAGCCUCGCGCCUUUUGGACGAGAAGCCCGCUUGCACCUGAUGAGUAGGGGUAAACCUAGGUUAAUUUUCUUGUCGUCUUGCCAUUUUUUUUUCCUUCCUCAGGUAUCUGACCAACACACACACUGAAUCUUAAUACCGCAUGAUUUACAAAGGGCAUCAAAUAAAUCAUUGGUAGAUAUGAGUGUGCAGGUUUUUAUCUUUGGUCCUGAAAAUAAGAAAGACAAGGAGCUACCAAAAGAAGUUAGCACCUAAUCUUACCCACCAGCGAAAGUGAAAGACAUUGAAAAGGGACUACAAGUGUGCUAUCUUACUCAGGACUAUCGCUGAAUGAACUAUACUAAAAUACUUCGGGUCUUGAAGUUGGUAACCAUGGGUCACCAAUUUAACUUUUCUUCUUUUGUUAGCGUAUAUUAACAAAAUUAUGCAAAAUAAUGUGUUUUGUUGUGACAUCUGCAUGUAGUUAACCAUCACCUCUUACCCACUUGGUACCGCACCAAUUAAAAUGCAUUUAAUGCCUUCUUUGGCCUAUUCUAAAUGUAUGAUUACUUUAAGAACUUUUGAGUCCUUUUGCUCAGCAUCUCAAAUUAUCCUGCAUAACUAAAGCAGUACUGUGUGUUUGUUUUUCAGAUUCUGAUGCUCACUUUGGAAAGAUGGGAAAUUUUACUUCCUUCUGAGUGUCUCUGAAAACUUAAAAAUGCUGAUAUGAAUAAUUUGUGUUGUUUGUUCUCCCUCUCUUUUGUAUUUAAUUGUGAAAGCUGAGUUUUACGCAGAAGAUGUAGCUCAAUGGUAAGAAUUCACCUAGCAUAUACUCAAGGCCUUGGAUUGGAUUCCCAGCCCUGGUUUGUUUGUAUCAGGGAAAAUACAUACUAUGCCUCUGUUAGAAGUUAAUAAAAUUCAAAAGAUAACUACGCUAUUCAGAAAACAGUUAAAAUAAUUUUCAAAGACUCGGCUUAUGUUGUGAGAAGAAACAAUGCCUGUGGCAAAAGCCAUUCAUCCAUAAAUUCAACAAUGUAAAAGCCUCAGAAAUAUCGAUGUCCUUCUACCUGUAAUGAUGCUUUGUUGAAAUGAAAUUCACAUAUGCAGUUCAUCCAUUUAAAGGGUGUAGUCCAGUGCGUUUUAGUUUGCUCAGAUUUCCAACGGUGAACACAAUUAUACAAGAAAACUAUACUAUGCAAAACCAUGUGCUUAGACUUAACUGGAAGGAUAAAUGAAAAUGGGGGAGAAAAAACAAAAAUACUAAGAGUUGUAAUGAAAAACUUUUAUAGCAUCAAAGGAAGUUAUUACAAAGUCCUGUCACUAGUCCAUCCAGUGAGUUCAAAUAUCCAAUCCAGGUGUCUGGCAAAUGUGGACUUAGCUGUAUCUUAGUGCACCUGCUACAUACAUACUAAGCUUAGUGGCACAAGUGAACAGAAGAGCAAUAUUAGAGAAUAUUAAAUUCAAGGAGCAUCAUGGAAACAAUAUAUGAGAUUACGCUGCUUGGUAAAUAAACGAUGGAGUUGUUUCUAAUGUAAGACUAUCAGCAUCUUAAGGUUACAUUCUCAACAGAAAACAAAUAAUGACAUAGUAUUACUUAGCUAUUAUCAUUACUUGCUACAGGAAUUGGCAUAGUUUUUUAAGUUAAAUGUAAAAUCCAGGUGACUGAACAGUGAGUUUGAACCCCAGAACCCACUGUACAAGAAGGACCUCCUAAAAGUUAUCCUGACCUUGUGUCUGCCAGUGUAAAUUCUGGCACAUAAAUAAAUAAAUACAUACUAACAAUUAAAAAGAAAAGAAGACCUUAAGAACAAGUCUGCCUGGCAGUAUCUGUUAACAAGAAGAGGUGAGAAUACAACUGGUUGGUUCAACCUAAGAGUCUACUGCAUAGGAACUGCUACACAAUCGAGAAAGCAAAAAGAAAAUGACAUUCUUGAGUAUUUCAGCUCUCUGCACAUAUCCCAAAGACAUGCAACAACCAUUGUCAAACAGACCUGGUGACAAAAAGUUCUGUUUAAAGCACACCAUCUGUACAUGGUUUCAUAAACAUACCAGGACUUGGGAAGCUUGAGUUCAGAACUGGCUUGUAGAUACCAAGAUUGUGUCUCAGAAAACAAAUCCUGGUUGCUGGGAUUAAAGUGUAAUCAUCCUUCAACUCUACUGCAAGAAAAAUAGUUCGGA